UACGUAGGUGGCGAGCGUUGUCCGGAUUUACUGGGCGUAAAGCGUCCGCAGGCGGUCUGUUAAGUUAGGUGUGAAAGGUUGGGGCUCAACCCCAAAGCGGCACCUAAUACUGGCAGGCUUGAGUCUCGGAGAGGAGAACGGAACUGCACGUGUAGCGGUGAAAUGCAUUGAGAUGUGCAGGAACACCAGUGGCGAAAGCGGUUCUCUGGACGAGUACUGACGCUGAGGGACGAAAGCUAGGGGAGCGAACGGG
RNAcentral lists this ribosomal RNA (253 nucleotides) under uncultured bacterium. Its description in RNAcentral is "partial 16S ribosomal RNA". It matches the Rfam family "Bacterial small subunit ribosomal RNA", at positions 524 to 776 of the family's 1533-position model. The record is from RNAcentral.